Molecule: long non-coding RNA, 640 nt
Filed under: Homo sapiens (human)
Lineage: Eukaryota; Metazoa; Chordata; Mammalia; Primates; Hominidae
Description: HSALNT0256665
Source: RNAcentral
GGGACCUUGACGGCCUCCCACCCACCUGUGCUGGCGGCACCAGGUGCCCAUAAACUGGAAAAUCCUGCCAGCUCUACCUUCAAAAUACAUCCAGAAGCAGAGCCAUGUCUUUUCCCUGUAUCCUACACCUGCCCCCAGCAUCCCAUGCCUGGACUAUUGCAGUAGCCUCCUUGCUGGUCUUCCUUCCACUCUUUCAUCUACUCUCAGUAUACCAGCCAGAAAAAUCCUAUUAAGUCAGAUCAUGUCGGCAGGGCGCGGUGGCUCACAGCUGUAAUCCCAGCAUUUUGGGAGGGUGAGGCAAACUCACUUGAGCUCAGGAGUUUGAGACUAGCCUGGGCAACAUGGCAAAACCCCAUCUCUACAAUAAAUACAAAAAUUAGUGGCCAUGGUGGGGCGUGCUUGUAGCCCCAGCUACUCUGGUGGCUGAGGUGGGAGGAACACUUGAGCUCAGAAGGGUCCAGGCUGCAGUGAGACGAGAUCGCACCACUGCACUUCAACCUGGGUGACAGAGCAAGACCCUGUCUCAGAAAAUUAAAAAAUAAAUAAAUAACAUUUAAAAGUCAGAUCAUGUCCCUCCUCUGCUCAAAACUCUUCCAUGGGUCGGGCAGUGGUGGCUCAUGCCUGUAACCCCAGUACUUUG